RNAcentral lists this ribosomal RNA (738 nucleotides) under uncultured haloarchaeon. RNAcentral's name for it is "bacterial SSU rRNA". It matches the Rfam family "Archaeal small subunit ribosomal RNA", at positions 5 to 746 of the family's 1478-position model. The record is from RNAcentral. Lineage: Archaea; Methanobacteriati; Methanobacteriota; Halobacteria; Halobacteriales; Halobacteriaceae.
CGGUUGAUCCUGCCGGAGGACAUUGCUAUUGGGAUUCGAUUUAGCCAUGCUAGUCGAGCGAGUUCAGACUCGCGGCGAAUAGCUCAGUAACACGUGGCCAAGCUCCCCUUCAGUCAGCGAUACCCUCGGGAAACUGAGGUUAACAGCUGAUACAAAACGCCAACUGGAAUGCGGCGUUUCAGAAAGACAUCGCUGAAGGAUGCGGCUGCGGCCGAUUAGGUAGACGGUGGGGUAACGGCCCACCGUGCCAGUAAUCGGUACGGGUGAUGAGAGUCAGAGCCCGGAGACGGAAUCUGAGACAAGAUUCCGGGCCCUACGGGGCGCAGCAGGCGCGAAACCUUUACACUGCACGGAAGUGCGAUAGGGGAAUCCCAAGUGCGAGGGCAUAUUAGCCCUCGCUUUUCUCGACUGUAAGGUGGUCGACGAAUAAGAGCUGGGCAAGACCGGUGCCAGCCGCCGCGGUAAUACCGGCAGCUCAAGUGAUGUCCCAUAUUAUUGGGCCUAAAGCGUCCGUAGCUGGCCGACCAAGUCUACCGGGAAAUCCACCCGCCCAACGGGUGGGCGUCCGGUAGAAACUGGCCGGCUUGGAACCGGAAGGCUCAGAGAGUACGUCCGGGGUAGGAGUGAAAUCCUGUAAUCCCGGACGGACUACCGAUGGCGAAAGCACUCUGAGAAGACGGCUUCGACAGUGAGGGACGAAAGCUCGGGUCUCAAACCGGAUUAGAUACCCGGGUAGUC